UAGCUAUUGUGGUAUUGGCUCGGUUCACUCAGACACACACACACUCGCUGUGUUUUCGAUUUUUGAUUGAGCCGUGCCAAUAUCUCACUGCUGUUU
This is a non-coding RNA of Cajanus cajan (pigeon pea), 96 nucleotides long. Lineage: Eukaryota; Viridiplantae; Streptophyta; Magnoliopsida; Fabales; Fabaceae. The record is from Rfam.